UCAAACAUGAAGCUGAUCGUCUCACACCACCUAUCAUAGCUGAUUUUAAUGGAGAUGGAAAGAAGGAGGUUAUCGUUGCUACAAACGAUGCAAAGAUUCAGGCGUGUGGAUGAAGGUUUGCGGAGAUCACCCUUUGGCCUGACAAGAUCUGUGUUGCCUCUGGGAUGUGGCAAUGGCCUCUGGUGUUAUUGAUAGGUACUAUAAAGAUGGGUAACCAAAGAAGCAGAUUUUGGUUGUUGUUACCUCUGUUUGGUCUUUGUUCUUCUUUGAUCACAACCUGAGAAACAUCUGGGAAACGAAUCUGCAGCGGUAGAAGGACGGUGACACUGGUUUGGUUAUUGUUGGUGGACGGAUGGAGAUGCAGCCAUAUAAUCACAUGGACCCAUUUGAGGAACUUGACAUGACAGAAAAAAAAUGCGGAGCAACACAAGGAGAAGUACUACUGAGAAACAGGCCUCUGAAGAUUCUGAAGUUGAUAACUUGCGUCACUUUUCUGUUUAUUUAUUCGCUGGCCGAACUUGUGUUCUUCGGUUGAGUAAAAAAACUGAUGAUGUUAAAGCUCACACCUCAGAUGCGCCAAAAUUAAUUUCCCAACACAAUUACAAGCUAUGACGUGUAUUCUAUAAAUAGCCGUCACCCGGGAGAAGUAAACUUAACUCGUUCUCCAUUAAUCACUGAGAUAUGUAGUUAACUUGUUCUGGUUGUCUUUUAAAAAGAUUUAUGUUGCACUAUCAAACUAUAAUCUUUCAAAAGUUUUGAAACCUGAAAUAUGUCGUGGGUUGAAGUUUGAAUGCAUGGAAUUUAGAGAAUCAAUUCUUGGGGUUAUGCCCCAUCACUGGGACCGACGUGAAGAUACAUUGUUGAAGCUUGCUCAUUUCAGGCGACACAAGAGGAAAAUAUUAAAGAAGCAAGCUGGUAAGGCUACAAUCUCACAGACCUCAGGAACACACACCAGCUGGAAUAGACUUGUUGAGAAAGAUUCCAAAAUUGAUCAAGAAGGCUGCGCGCUAUGCUGGCUCGGCAACACCUAAUAAGGUGAAGCUCUUAUAAAACGUAAUGUUCCCAACUGAAAAUACCCAUAUUGUUUAUGAUAGCAAACCACAUGUUGCUACAUGGCAUUCAAUACAUACCGACCAUAACUAACUACACUAAGCUUUGGUGGGUUCCUACUGUUGUCGUGGCUCAUCAAAAAGAAGGAAUUGAAGCUAUUCAUUUGCCUACUGGUCGAACUCUUUGCAAGCUUCAUCUACUUGAAGGUGGGCUUCAUGCGGACAUAAAUGAAGAUGGUGUACUUGAUCAUGUCCAGGCGGUCGUAGGCAGUGUUAGCGAGAGAACUGUAGUUAGCGGAUCAAUGGAAGUGUUGAAACCUUUCUGGGCAGUGGCAACCUCAGGCGUUCCCGUCCGAGAGAAGCUCUUCAAUGUCUCUAUCUGUCAUCACACCGCCUUCAACUUCAUGCACUACGGAGAGCAUUCACGAAACUUUGCUGAUACAAGCGACACCUCUUCUUUGGAGAUUGCAACUCCCAUCCUCAUUCCCAGGAGAGGAAGUCACGGCAAUGUAAUCUUCUUGACAAAUCGUGGAGAGGCGACAUCAUACACGUCUGAUGUGCACGGCCGCCGCGAGCCCCUCUAGCAAUGGCAGCUUUAGACAGAAGCAACAUGGUCGAAUCUCCCGUCUCCAUCUGGUUUAACCAAAUCAGGGACGGUGGUCCCGACCCUGAAGUCGUUCUCGCUGCGCUUUCAUGAUAACCAACAUAUGAUCCUUGCGGGAGGAGAUCAAGCGGAAGUGAUCUUAUCUCUAGGAGGAAGCAUAUUGGCUUCUAUCGACUUACCGUUCCAGCCGACACAUGCACUCAUCGCUGAUGACUUCUCAAACGAUGGAUUAACGGAUGUCAUUGUGAUGACAUCAAAUGGGAUUUAUGGGUUCGUUCAGACCAGACAGCCCGGAUCUCUGUUUUUCAGUUCGUUGGUGGGAUGUCUCUUAGUAGUUAUGGCAGUUAUUUUCAUUGCUCAGCACUUAAAACUCCAUUAAAAUUAAGCCUCGACCUUCCAGUAGCUUUUGAUAAAAAGACCUUGGAGCAUAAUUAAUGCAGGUCUCUUAGGCUGGGGUUCAUAGGGCAUGAUUAACCUCGGUCUUUUAGGCAGGGUUCUUAACUUAUGAUUUGAUAUUUUUUUGUUUUCUUUGUUUUCUUUGUUUUUUACAUUUUUCAGUUAAGAGA
This is a long non-coding RNA of Brassica oleracea var. oleracea, 2219 nucleotides long. RefSeq lists it as uncharacterized. Lineage: Eukaryota; Viridiplantae; Streptophyta; Magnoliopsida; Brassicales; Brassicaceae. The transcript is spliced from 9 exons. The record is from RefSeq and is a predicted model, not a curated record.